Molecule: non-coding RNA, 1132 nt
Organism: Cyanistes caeruleus (blue tit)
Lineage: Eukaryota; Metazoa; Chordata; Aves; Passeriformes; Paridae
Source: RefSeq, a predicted model, not a curated record
CCCCUCUUUCAGUUUGUACGCAGUCCUCCUUGUCCUACCACAACAAGGACAGAUGCAGAGUCUCUCCAGCUCCCCUGUUGGCCCUUUCAGAUGCUGGGUGGUUGCCAUGAGGUCUCCACAAAAUCAUCUCCAGGCUGAACAGCCCCAGCUUGCUCAGCAUUCCUAGGGGAGAUGCUAUAGUCUGAAUUUGCUUCAAAACUUUCAUGUCCUCCUUACGCUGGGGACACCAUAAGUGUGCACAGUACUCCAGGUGGCUCCCACAGAGCAGAGUAGAGGGGGAAAAUCACCUCCCCAACCCUGCUGGCCACAUUGCUUUUGAUGCAGCCCAGGACUCCACUGGUUUUCUGGACUAGGAGUGCACACUGCUGGCUCAUGUUGAGUUUUUCAUCAGCCAUCACACCUUUCUUCCCAGUGUGGCUCUCAGUCACUUCUCCACUCAACAUGUAGGUGUCUGGGAUUGUCGCAAUCCAGGCGUAGGGCCUCGCACUUUGCUUUGUUGAUCUCCAUGAUAUUUACACUGGCCCACCUCUCAAGUGUGUCAGGGUCCCUCUGGAGGACAUCCCUCCAGGGUGUCAAAUUAUUGCAGUGUUGUGGUUUGUGACUCAGGCCCACUCUAUUUUGUGACUUGUUACCUCUGCAGAUAUGAAGGCCAUGGUGAGGUGGGUGCUGUGAGCCCACCCGCUCCUGAUGAACCCUGGCUUGGUUUCUCACAGAGCUUUUUACCAGGCAGUGUGUCUUGCCCUAGCUCCAGAAAUAUGAGCAGUAAUCAUAAAGCCUGGAAAGGAUGUGCUGACUGAAGUCUUUAUGAGAUUUUUAAUGAGGAUUAGGAAAUCUGAGAUAGCAAAAUCUACUGUAUACAAAGAGGUUGUUGUGCAUGAAUCUUCAGACAAGUUUUAGAUCAGAAUCCUUUGUCAGCAACAGUAGGAUCCAUUUCAGGAUCUCAUUCUUGAGAACCAGUUUACUCUUCUGGAUGGAAAGUGUUUAAAGGAUCUGCCUCAGAGUUUUCCCUCCCACUUCUAUAAAGCUGAAAGAGGUCAUUCUCAAACAGUCCACAUUUGGAUAGAGCAUACAUGCUUUUCUGUCUGGUUCUUGCACCGGCUAAACAACAUAAAAAAACAUCAUCUUCAAAUGA